This 76-nucleotide transfer RNA is filed under the name Dreissena polymorpha. RNAcentral's name for it is "tRNA-Sec". The record is from RNAcentral. Lineage: Eukaryota; Metazoa; Mollusca; Bivalvia; Myida; Dreissenidae.
GGCGGAAUAGCUCAGUAGGCUAUAGCGAUUUACUUCAGGACUCCAGGGGUCACUGGUUCGAAACCUGCUCCGGGCA